RNAcentral lists this ribosomal RNA (156 nucleotides) under Filobasidium magnum. Its description in RNAcentral is "5.8S ribosomal RNA". The stretch from base 1 to 117 matches the Rfam family "5.8S ribosomal RNA", at positions 38 to 154 of the family's 154-position model. Rfam says of the family: 5.8S ribosomal RNA (5.8S rRNA) is a component of the large subunit of the eukaryotic ribosome. It is transcribed by RNA polymerase I as part of the 45S precursor that also contains 18S and 28S rRNA. The record is from RNAcentral. Lineage: Eukaryota; Fungi; Basidiomycota; Tremellomycetes; Filobasidiales; Filobasidiaceae.
GAAGAACGCAGCGAAAUGCGAUAAGUAAUGUGAAUUGCAGAAUUCAGUGAAUCAUCGAAUCUUUGAACGCACCUUGCGCUCCUUGGUAUUCCGAGGAGCAUGCCUGUUUGAGUGUCAUGAAACCCUCAAACCCAAGUUUUGGAUUUCGAUCCAUGC